Pan troglodytes (chimpanzee) is the source of this 517-nucleotide long non-coding RNA. RefSeq lists it as uncharacterized. The record is from RefSeq and is a predicted model, not a curated record. The transcript has 3 exons. Lineage: Eukaryota; Metazoa; Chordata; Mammalia; Primates; Hominidae.
GCGCCCACCAUGAGCUAGGCUGCUGCAUGGAUUAUAAUUAUCUCAGUACAUCCUCUCAACCCCUGUGACCACCCCCUUUCAGAGAUAAAGGAAACUGAGGCUCAGACAGGCAAUCGCGAUCCUGACUUAAUUGCCAUUGAUUCGUUUUGCCUGGUUUUGAAGUUCCUAUGAGUGAAACCAGUCGGGUAUAUACAGCUGACCCUUGGAUAACACCAGUUUGAACAGAGCAGGUCCACUUAUGCUUGGACUUUCUUCUGCCUCUGCCACACUCGAGACAGCAAGACCAACCUCUCCUCCUCAGCCUGCUCAACGUGAAGACGAAGAGGAUGACCUUUAUGACAAUCUACUUCCACUGAAUGAAUAGUGAAUAUGCUUUCUCUUCCUUGUGAUUUUCUUUCUUUCUUUCUUUUUUUUUUUUUUUUUGAGACACAGUCUCACUCUGUCACCCAGUCUGUAGUGCUGUGGCAUGAUCAUAGCUCGCUGCAACCUUGAACUGGCCUCAAGCGAUCCUCCUGUC